UUCUCAGAAGUUUCUUCCAUUCAGCUUUUCGACGAUGAGUUGAAAGGAAGAAUUUUUGACGUUAUUGAAGCCCAUGGAUGAAAUGACUUCUGUCUCACUUUGAAGAGAUUCUGAGGUUGUAGAUUCCUUACUAUUUGUAGGAAUUUCAGACAUGGAUUGCUAGGUUAAUAGGAUCUUGGCUCUGAUACCAUAAAGAAGA
This 199-nucleotide long non-coding RNA is filed under the name Olea europaea (common olive). RNAcentral describes it as "long non-coding RNA (OEUR_LNC011771)". Lineage: Eukaryota; Viridiplantae; Streptophyta; Magnoliopsida; Lamiales; Oleaceae. The record is from RNAcentral.